UAGCCAGGAUUUUUGGAAAGGGAGGCAAGCUGUGCGGCGCGCGAAGCGCGCCGCAAAAUUUCGCGGAACCACGCCCUUUUGGGGCGUGGACACACCUAUUUUUCAACAUGGCGGACUUCUUAACCGAUCAUAGGCAACGUUGAAUACCUUUUCAGCCUUAUAAUGGCAUCAUAGAAAGACUGCUUUGGCCUUUUCCUUUGAUAUGCGUCCUGAGUUUUCCCAAGGUUUACGGUUUAGUACAUACAGAAACACGUGGCCAAUGGCCAACUAUCUCGUUCUCACUCCUUUUCUAUAAACUAGUUCUUUUCUUGUGCAAAGACUAUUGUCAUCUCAACUAAGAUCUUAAAUACUGAAGAACUCAAGGCAGAGUUUAAUGUACUGAUACAAGAUAGAUCCUUCACUGUGGUAUAGCAUGAAUUGCAAAUUUGUGAUAUGUUUAUGAAUUGUGUAUUCAUUAUCAUUAUCUAUUUUAUGAGCAUUGUAUCUUCUUUGUCAUUUACCAUUCAUUUAUUUACUUUGUAUAAUAA
Long non-coding RNA from Amphimedon queenslandica, 527 nucleotides. RefSeq lists it as uncharacterized. NCBI's taxonomy places the organism in Eukaryota, Metazoa, Porifera, Demospongiae, Haplosclerida, Niphatidae. The transcript is spliced from 2 exons. The record is from RefSeq and is a predicted model, not a curated record.